CUUAGCCUCAUCCACCUUGAAAGUUGCACCACACACCUGACCAGAACUAUCAACUAUUGGGACAGGCUUCACCUCAUUAAGUGGAUGCUCAAAACUGCUCAAACCUCCGGAUGUUAUAAAGAAGAAUCCUAAACAAGCAAUAAUACAAGUUAGUUGUUUCCGCAUGAUGUAUAAUUUGGAAUAAUAGGAGGACCUUGAAAUGGGAAA
This 207-nucleotide long non-coding RNA is filed under the name Arachis ipaensis. RNAcentral's name for it is "long non-coding RNA (AIPA_LNC001238)". The record is from RNAcentral. Lineage: Eukaryota; Viridiplantae; Streptophyta; Magnoliopsida; Fabales; Fabaceae.